This is a long non-coding RNA of Vitis riparia (riverbank grape), 175 nucleotides long. RefSeq lists it as uncharacterized. The record is from RefSeq and is a predicted model, not a curated record. The transcript is spliced from 3 exons. Lineage: Eukaryota; Viridiplantae; Streptophyta; Magnoliopsida; Vitales; Vitaceae.
UGCAUCCUAGCAUCAAAGAGAGAACAGAAGUGUCAAUUGUUUCUCCAGAAUUAUUGAGUUUGAAACGAUCCAGAUCAGGAAGACUACUUUUACCUUCCCUAGAUUUCUGGCGCAACCAAAAGGCAGUUUAUGAUGCGGAUCGGAGAAUUGCUGGAAUUUAGGAAGUCCUGCAUGU